AUACCUUUCUCGGCCUUUUUGGCUAAGAUCAAGUGUAGUAUCUGUUCUUAUCAGUUUAAUAACUGAUAUGUGGGUCAUCGACUCACACGAUAUUAACUUAAUUUUUUAAGGGGGAAGGUCCAUUAAAGUAGCUUGCUACUUGGACUUUCAUGCGUCGCUUGGGCGUUGCACUAAAGCCUAGGCCUGGCACACCCCAC
RNAcentral lists this small nuclear RNA (197 nucleotides) under Solanum tuberosum (potato). Its description in RNAcentral is "snRNA U2". It matches the Rfam family "U2 spliceosomal RNA". From Rfam's summary of the family: U2 is a small nuclear RNA (snRNA) component of the spliceosome (involved in pre-mRNA splicing). Complementary binding between U2 snRNA (in an area lying towards the 5' end but 3' to hairpin I) and the branchpoint sequence (BPS) of the intron results the bulging out of an unpaired adenosine, on the BPS, which initiates a nucleophilic attack at the intronic 5' splice site, thus starting the first of two transesterification reactions that mediate splicing. The record is from Rfam by way of RNAcentral. Lineage: Eukaryota; Viridiplantae; Streptophyta; Magnoliopsida; Solanales; Solanaceae.